GACGAACGCUGGCGGCGUGCUUAACACAUGCAAGUCGAACGGAAAGGCCCUGCUUUUGUGGGGUGCUCGAGUGGCGAACGGGUGAGUAACAGGUGAGUAACCUGCCCUAGACUUUGGGAUAACUUCAGGAAACUGGGGCUAAUCCCGGAUAGGAGCUCCUGCUGCAUGGUGGGGGUUGGAAAGUUACGGCGGUUGGGGUUGGACUCGCGGCUUAUCAGCUUGUUGGUGGGGUAGUGGCUUACCAAGGCUUUGACGGGUAGCCGGCCUGAGAGGGUGACCGGCCACAUUGGGACAGGGAUACGACCCAGACUCAUUAGGGAGGCAGCAGUGGAGAAUAUUGCAAGACGGGCCGAAGCCGGAUGGAGCAACGCCGGGUGCGGGAUGACGGCCUUCGGGUUGUAAACCGCUUUCGCCUGUGACGAGGCGUGAGUGACGGUAAUGGGGAAAGAAGCACCGGCUAACUACGU
Molecule: ribosomal RNA, 467 nt
Filed under: uncultured bacterium
Lineage: Bacteria
Description: partial 16S ribosomal RNA
Rfam family: Bacterial small subunit ribosomal RNA
Source: RNAcentral